AGAGUUUGAUCAUGGCUCAGAACGUACGCUGGCGGCACGCCUUAUACAUGCAAGUCGAACGAAGUAGCAAUACUUAGUGGCAGACGGGUGAGUAACAUGUAGGUAUCUUCCCUUUGGUGAGGAAUAACACGAGGAAACUUGUGCUAAUACCUCAUAAGUCUUUACGGAGAAAGCUUUAUGCGCCAAAGGAUGAGCCUGCACUUGAUUAGUUUGUUGGUGGGGUAAUGGCCUACCAAGACUUUGAUCAAUAGCUGAUCUGAGAGGAUGAUCAGCCACAUUGGGACUGAGACACGGCCCAAACUCCUACGGGAGGCAGCAGUAGGGAAUAUUGCACAAUGGAGGAAACUCUGAUGCAGCGAUGCCGCGUGAGUGAAGAAGGCCCUUGGGUUGUAAAGCUCUUUCGUCGGGGAAGAAAAUGACUGUACCCGAAUAAGAAGGUCCGGCUAACUUCGUGCCAGCAGCCGCGGUAAUACGAAGGGACCUAGCGUAGUUCGGAAUUACUGGGCUUAAAGAGUUCGUAGGUUGUUAAAAUAGUUGGUGGUGAAAUCCCAGAGCUUAACUCUGGAACUGCCAUCAAAACUUUUUAGCUAGAGUAUGAUAGAGGAAAGCAGAAUUUCUAGUGUAGAGGUGAAAUUCGUAGAUAUUAGAAAGAAUACCAAUUGCGAAGGCAGCUUUCUGGAUCAUUACUGACACUGAGGAACGAAAGCAUGGGUAGCGAAGAGGAUUAGAUACCCUCGUAGUCCAUGCCGUAAACGAUGUGUGUUAGACGUUGGAAAUUUAUUUUCAGUGUCGCAGCGAAAGCAUUAAACACACCGCCUGGGGAGUACGACCGCAAGGUUAAAACUCAAAUGAAUUGACGGGGACCCGCACAAGUAGUGGAGCAUGUGGUUUAAUUCGAAGAUACGCGCAGAACCUUACCAACACUUGACAUGUUCGUCGCGACUUUAAGAGAUUAAAGUUUUCGGUUCGGCCGGACGAAACACAGGUGCUG
Molecule: ribosomal RNA, 991 nt
Filed under: marine metagenome
Description: bacterial SSU rRNA
Rfam family: Bacterial small subunit ribosomal RNA
Source: RNAcentral